This 587-nucleotide ribosomal RNA is filed under the name uncultured Gammaproteobacteria bacterium. RNAcentral's name for it is "bacterial SSU rRNA". It matches the Rfam family "Bacterial small subunit ribosomal RNA", at positions 338 to 916 of the family's 1533-position model. Lineage: Bacteria; Pseudomonadati; Pseudomonadota; Gammaproteobacteria. The record is from RNAcentral.
CCUACGGGAGGCAGCAGUGGGGAAUGUUGCGCAAUGGGCGAAAGCCUGACGCAGCCAUACCGCGUGUGUGAAGAAGGGUUUAGGCUCGUAAAGCACUUUAAGUAGGGAGGAAGGCCUGUAAAUUAAUACUUUGCAGGAUUGACGUUACCUACAGAAUAAGCACCGGCUAACUCCGUGCCAGCAGCCGCGGUAAUACGGAGGGUGCAAGCGUUAAUCGGAAUUACUGGGCGUAAAGCGCGCGUAGGCGGUUUGUUAAGCGAGAUGUGAAAGCCCAGGGCUCAACCUUGGAACUGCAUUUCGAACUGGCAGGCUAGAGUACAAGAGAGGGUGGUAGAAUUUCCUGUGUAGCGGUGAAAUGCGUAGAUAUAGGAAGGAAUACCAGUGGCGAAGGCGGCCACCUGGCUUGAUACUGACGCUGAGGUGCGAAAGCGUGGGGAGCGAACAGGAUUAGAUACCCUGGUAGUCCACGCCCUAAACGAUGUCAACUAGACGUUGGGCUCAUCAAGGAGCUUAGUGUCGAAGCUAACGCGUUAAGUUGACCGCCUGGGGAGUACGGCCACAAGGUUGAAACUCAAAUGAAUUGACGG